This 202-nucleotide long non-coding RNA is filed under the name Gossypium raimondii (Peruvian cotton). RNAcentral's name for it is "long non-coding RNA (GRAI_LNC005511)". Lineage: Eukaryota; Viridiplantae; Streptophyta; Magnoliopsida; Malvales; Malvaceae. The record is from RNAcentral.
UUUGCCGAAUCUCCUUUCUCCUCCGUCUUCUCUGUGUUGCCGAAUUCUUGCUCCCUCUCCACUAUAGAGUCUUCUAAAAUAUAGUAUUGGCGUUGGUUCUUCUCUGUUUUGGUGGUUGAAUGUUGAUAGGUGAGUUCUACGACACCUUUUGUCUAGUUCGGUCUGCGCUUUUCUAUCCAUUGAUUUUUUUUAUUUUUUUUCC